Molecule: long non-coding RNA, 2718 nt
Organism: Lepisosteus oculatus (spotted gar)
Lineage: Eukaryota; Metazoa; Chordata; Actinopteri; Semionotiformes; Lepisosteidae
Source: Ensembl
AGAGUAUACCGUACUGUACUAAUUUAAAUAUAGAGGGGGUGGGGGUCUCGGUGUGUAUUUGUAUACAAGUACUUGUUAAUGUGCACAUAUUUAAAAGGUUUUCCUUUUCAACCCUGUAAUCAGUGUACAAUUUUUUGACCGAGAGCAAGAAACACCUACGAGGCCCAAGGCGCGCCAUGGACGAAUGCAGCAAACAAUUCGGCAAAACUAAUCCGCACGUAUUUACCAACAUACCCAGCCAUUAUUGAUUGUGUGAUGAAGUAUACCACCUUGUUUGCGGAAAGCGUUUCAGCUUUGAAUUUACUGUUUCCAUACUGUGUAAACGGGGCCUGUGAUGGUUACUGUUAGUGUACUGCGCUGCAAAAAACCUUUCGAAACAAAUGUACGAUUCAGAAAAGUAUAGUUGCUCUGCGGCCCGGUAUAUAUAAUAUUGUUGUUGUUGUUGUUGUUGUUGUUUUUUGCAAAGCUGCUUUGUAUAGGUAGAGCAGGUUUUUUUUUCCCAGGUCGUGAAACAUCCCAAACGCAGGGAAUAGAGGUAACAGAUGUUUGUUUGUUUUUUGACGAAUGCUCACGAUGAAUCUCAUCCAGCUAUAUGUAAUGAAAUGCGCGGUCUCUCAGCAGAAUACAGAGAAAAGUGCAAAAAUGAAUUUGUACAGAUUCAUUUUUGACUCCGACUUACCACAUAGGAGAUAAAGCUGAGGGGAGACGAGGAGUCACCACUUUCGACGCCAGACGACUGAUUCGGUCCAGUACGGCUGUAGCAGCCCAGUUUAAUCCCAGUUCCUACAGACAAUCAGCCGGCGCUCGGCUGCCUUGUCGUCCUGUGCGUUACCUACAGAUACAGGUGUCUAUUGUGCAUGUAAUUAAAAUCAUCCUUAACCGGAACAAUGGGACAGGAGACGGACACAGGAGCGCUGUGGGAAGAGCUCUGGAGCAGCCGAAGACGGAGCACGCCGUUAAGCCCCAGGUAACGGCUGUGGCUGGCUGCACACGAGAGCUCUGCCUCGGCGGACCACACGGCCACCCCGAGGUCCUCAAAUGCAAUGAAAAGCCUUUUAGGACUGGCCUGGAAGAAUACCCACCGCCUGCUUCUAAACAGCGUCUUACUUAUUCAUCCAGCAAGGAACCAACCCCAAACCGCCCAAGUAUUCCGGUGCCAUCUGAGAAAUGAUUUCCACAAUUCACAGUUCACCAAGGUUAGCUUCUGCACCGAAAGACACUGAAUUCCGUGCGACUCGUUUUUAUGCCAAUAAAAUAUUGAACUAAAAGGCUUAGGCUUCCCGUUCUCUACCAAGAAAACAAUUUCCAGCCCAGGGUGGGAAGGUUUUGUACAAAAUACCAGUCUUCGGCUGUAUUUUGUUAAAAGUUCAACUUAUAACUUAUAAAUUUACAAAUCCUAAUUUUUAAAAUUAAUCAUAAACGUUUUCAUUUGCCUUUCCCUGUUAACACUGAUAUUGAAUCUUCACUGAUUACGGACUGCCAUACUCAUAUUUAUACAUACAUAUUUAUUUGCAUAGGUUUAUUUAGAACCCUCUGCUGUAGUGCCAUCAUGAAUCACAAUCUAAUCUGGGGUUCCUGAAUCACAGAAACUCCUUCUUUAUGACAUCCCAGGCUUGUUCCUCCAUCCAACCUCAGCACAGCCCCAGGUAAAUACAUACCAGGCCACUUCACCCCUUCCUGCAACAUGUCAUUUCCAGGAAGUACGUCAUUUCCUGUUUCAGUCACAAGUAGGUGCAUUCUAGGAAAACAAAAUUCCUCCUUGUUUCUACAUGGGUGUGAAAUUCCAAUAUUUUCAGUCAAUAGUAAAAACACCAGAGGCUGUAGGUUUUGCAGCACAUUGUGGAUUCUCCAACAGCCAAGUCCCAAUACUCUGCUCCACAAUAUUCUGCGUUUUUCCUUACCUGUGCUUUAUGUUUUGCAGGCAGAGAAUUAAGAGCAAUGAAAAUCAAAAUGUUAAAAUGUUGUGCUGUUACCCAUGUUUCGGCACACAAGCCCACCUUCUUGAAUCUUAAUCUCUUACAGCCCAGCAUGAUUUUAGUUUUCCUACUGAUUACUGCAGGUCACUGUCACAAAAUAAUUAAGCCUACAUGUCUUUCUUAAAAGACAAAUCUGUACACAAAGUUCCCAAGCAAAGGCCUUAUACUCAACACAGCUAUUUAUCUUCCUUUAAUGCCUGUUAAGCUCUUGGCCUGUCUUAAGUAUUUGGCUGUUCCAGCCUGGCUCUUGACAGGAGUCUCUGCAAUUGUGAUUCAAUUACAUUUCGUAAGCUGGCAACAGCAGUGCUACGUUUAAUCAAUGUAGUUCUUUUAGUCUUCCUAGAUGAGCUGGAGCUAAAAUACUGAACAUAAAGCAACGACACCCUAAAUAACAGAUAGAAUAAGGAGAACAAAGGUAUUACCUGUAUGCACGACCCCAAUGAUGUAUGCAUAUCCCUUAUAUAAGUUUGAAAUAGUAAAUUAGUAGAAUAAACAUUGCAUUCUACCAUGUUUCUACUGCACUCUUCAUUUACUUUGCUUUGCAGUGGUUCCUCUAGUUACCUAUCUGCCCAAUACUUUUUCCAUACAUUUUGCUGUCCUUUUACCACAGUAAAUGUUCAUAAAAGACGCAGUGACUCAAAGAAAAACAGAGCCACUCUUCUUAGUACAGGUGAUAAAACUCUCUUUCUUUAAUGGACUGUGAAAUGAAGAAUGAUUUUGCAGUUUUUUGGGGAAAGUGGAA